GAUGAACGCUGGCGGCGUGCUUAACACAUGCAAGUCGAACGAAGCACUUUGAUUGAUUCCUUCGGGAUGAUUUCAAAGUGACUUAGUGGCGGACGGGUGAGUAACGCGUGGGUAACCUGCCUCGUACAGGGGGAUAACAGUUAGAAAUGACUGCUAAUACCGCAUAACCCGCUAGGGUCGCAUGACCCAGACGGAAAAGAUUUAUCGGUACGAGAUGGACCCGCGUCUGAUUAGCUAGUUGGUGAGGUAACGGCCCACCAAGGCGACGAUCAGUAGCCGGCCUGAGAGGGUGAACGGCCACAUUGGGACUGAGACACGGCCCAAAACUCCUACGGGAGGCAGCAGUGGGGAAUAUUGCACAAUGGGGGAAACCCUGAUGCAGCGACGCCGCGUGAGUGAAGAAGAUCUUCGGAUUGUAAACUUUAGUCAACAGGGAAGAAGAAAGUGACGGUACCUGUGGAGGAAAGGCCACGGCUAACUACGUG
Molecule: ribosomal RNA, 485 nt
Filed under: uncultured bacterium
Lineage: Bacteria
Description: bacterial SSU rRNA
Rfam family: Bacterial small subunit ribosomal RNA
Source: RNAcentral